Long non-coding RNA from Mycetomoellerius zeteki, 883 nucleotides. RefSeq lists it as uncharacterized. The record is from RefSeq and is a predicted model, not a curated record. The transcript has 3 exons. NCBI's taxonomy places the organism in Eukaryota, Metazoa, Arthropoda, Insecta, Hymenoptera, Formicidae.
GGCCUAUUGAAAUGGCUGUGAAGCGCGGAGGUGUUGAUUCUUGAUCACUUGAAUACCUAUGCUGAUAUAAAAAUGUGACUUUAUAGCCGUACGACGACAAAGGGCAGUUGGAGUUCUGAUAAAUUGAAAUCUGUCCUCGUAGCAGUUUCUGAAGGAACGCAUAUCAGGAAAAGUGCCAAAAUGUUUGGAAUCCCAGAAAGUACAUUGCGAAGAAGAAUGAAAGCAAAUAAUGUAUCUAAAACAGUGCUGGGCAGAAGGUGCUACUUUUCUGUCGAACAAGAAAGACAUAUCGCAGAGCGCAUUUUAAAGAUGUGUAAUAUUUUUUACGGAGUUACACCUGAACAAUGUAGAAAAAUGGCAUUCGAACUAGCAGAAAAAAGCAACAUCAAGAAUCAAUUCAAUAAAAAUGAGAGGAUUGCUGGCAAAGCGUGGUUAGAAGGUUUUUUGAAACGUAAUCCAUCUGUUACCUCAAGAAAGUCUGAAGCAUUAAGUAUAAAUAGAAUAUGAGGCUUCAAUAAAGUCGAAGUAUUGAGAUUCUACACAAAUCUGCAGCAACUUAUGGAUACUUAUCACUUCCCAGCGAGUAGAAUAUUUAAUAUGGAUGAAACUGGAAUUUCAACGGUUCAGGAAACUGACAGAGUUUUGGCUCCGGGGGCAAAAUGUGUUGCUUCUAUCACAUCAGGAGAAAGAGGGAGAACUACAACGGUUAUUUGUGCAAUGAGCGCAAGUGGAAUCUAUAUGUAUACCGCCUAUGUUCAUUUUUUGUGGACAAAGAAUUUCCUACGUAUAUGGAAGACAUGCACCUGAAGGAUCUAUAAUAAAAUGCACUCGAAAUGGCUGGACUAAUGAAGAGAUGUUUAUGAUUUGGCUACAACAUUUCGCU